GUCAAGCUGGGCACUGGAGCCCAGGCACCCAGCAUCCAGAAACAUCAAGGAUUACAAAUCCCAUCGGAUUGGCAUGGUUUCCAGACCUUUCACCAUCCUGGCUGCCCUCCUCUGGACAUGUUCCAGCUUGCCCACAUCCCCCUUGAAGAGUGGUGAUCAAAACUGGAUGCAGUAUUCCAGCUAAGAGCAAAGUAACACCUGUAGGAGGCCAAGAAAAUGACAAAUACCAUCUCUAUUUGAGCCCUAAUGAAAAGCUUGAUUCACUAGCAACAGACAUGCACAGCAACACUUUGGGAACCUGGCUGGAGCUGCAUGUAUUGUAUGAUUAUUUGGCAUCAUGUUUUAAUAUUAUAAAUGUCCUGGGGGGGGGGACACAAAGUCGGGUGGACGUUUUAAAAAUAAACAAAUAUGCCAGCUAGCUUCCAAUUCAGCUGUCUUUCUUGAUUUAGGGAUCUCAACUCAAGGUGAAACUAGGUUGGGUGGGU
This is a long non-coding RNA of Sceloporus undulatus (fence lizard), 485 nucleotides long. RefSeq lists it as uncharacterized. The record is from RefSeq and is a predicted model, not a curated record. The transcript is spliced from 3 exons. Lineage: Eukaryota; Metazoa; Chordata; Lepidosauria; Squamata; Phrynosomatidae.